CAAGACCGUAUGAGCGCCCGAAAAUGCGGUGAGCUUGCAGGACACAGGCAGAGAUACAAGGAAACCGUCGCUUCCACACCGACAUGGGAACUAAGGGACAGUACUAUUGCAGUCUAAAAAAUAGCCGGGAGGUGUAAAACAUAGGGUCAGUUCCCAAGACAGGGCCGCCGCACGGGGGAGGCUCCACCCCACAAUUGUUUUCAGCGGCCAUAGGCACUUCUUUCCCCGCCCGUUUCCCAGCAGUGAAAGUACAUGGAUUCAAGACUCACCAACGGGCGGGGCGGCGGCCCAUGGCGACACCAGGAUCUUCAGUGGCUGCAACGAAAGAGAGAGAGUCGGAACGGAAGACGAGAACAGACCUAAAAGGUGUGAGAACCAGCAGCUGCACUACAAGAGACGACAACUACACUUACUCACCACACCGAAGGGAAAGAGGCGCUCCUCCGCCUGCGCAUGGCUUAUAUAGGCGGUCUGUCUGCGCGCGUAAGAACCAUAGAGUCCUGGCGAAGACGGGUGGACGCUCUGUCAGACGUCAUGACCAUAGACGCAGCCGCUCUUGGCGCUUGCGCCCGGGCGUAGCCCAGCACAUGCGCAGAUCAGAGAGGUGACCGGGUACCAGGGCCGCGGGCGGCCAGCUGACGAAUGGGGCUUCGCCACAUGGUCGCGAGAAGUCCGCUUCCGGCUGGCCAUCUUGGGCGUAGAACUCUUGCCCUAGGCUUUGCCGUUAACUGUGACAGACGUAUAUUUCUGAGAGUGGAAAAAAGGAAAGUACCCUAGGUGGGCCUCCCGGCGACCGCGAGAGUGUCCUCGAGCUUGCACGGGUCCCGGACACGCGCUCCGUGCCUCCUUCUAGGCUAGAGGCCCCGGCGGUGAAGCGCCAUACAGGGACCUGGGCCCGCGUUCCUUUGUCAACCCGGGAGGCCGGAGGGGGAGACCCAUUCCCCUACCGGAGAGACUGGACCAGGCCUUGCUGGGAGCCAUGCCCCGUAUCCCCGUUUCCUGGAGACCCAGGGUUCGCACAUUGCCGCGGGGAAGAGGUCGAGGAGAAAUCUCCACGGAGACUCAUGGCCUGGGAAACCGGGGGGCAUCACUGGCCCCGCUCCGCCCACACUGACCCGUACCGUCCCGACCAGCUGCGUCUCGGGUGCCACCUCCCACGAGCCGCUUUCGCCUGGGCACCGCCCCGCCUCGCCCUUCCCACUUCACUGUGCUCAGAGUCCCUCGGGGUGCGUCUGGGGGUCGUGGGGAAGCAGGGCCGCCCCCACCCGCCCACGGGGCAGCAUCCAGGAGAGGUGCGCAGAGCGGGCGGGCGUCCCGGGGGAAGUGGCGUCUGGAGGUAUCUGUCCACCAUUCUGCAGGUGGGGCGCGGUGGGGUAACAAAGUCUUCCCGUCCUUUGACAGGAAGGACGGGAGGAAAUCCUGCUCGAGCGCACCUGUUUUCCAGGAUGAUAUGUCGCUUUUAUAAGUGGCUGCAGGUCCCUUUGAGAAAAGCUUGGGAUGAUUUCUGGGGUGCACUUGCAGCAACGGUGCAAGGUCCUUCCCAGGGGAACCUAGCCUCCCUUUCCAUCAUGGGACUCUGGAUCCCUGCGGUGACUUAGGUCUGGAAACUGGGUUCGAGGCUGUAACACCACUGGGGCAAUACAAGUCAGGAACUGCGGCGGAGCGCAGUGGCUCACGCCUGUAAUCUCAGCACUUUGAGGGGCAGAGGUGGGCGGACCACUUGAGCCCAGGAAUCUGAGACCAGCCUGGACAACAUGGCGAAAAACCGCCUCUACAAAAAUUAAAAAUUAAAAAUUGGCCGGGCGCAGUGGCUCACGCCUGUAAUUCCAGCACUUUGGGAGGCCAAGGCAGGUGGAUCAUGAGGUCAGCAGAUCGAGACCAGCCUGGCCAACAUGGUGAAACCCCGUCUCUACUAAAAAUACAAAAAUUAGCCGGG
Molecule: non-coding RNA, 1936 nt
Filed under: Pongo abelii (Sumatran orangutan)
Lineage: Eukaryota; Metazoa; Chordata; Mammalia; Primates; Hominidae
Source: RNAcentral